ACAAUAUUGACCAAAAGUUGUCUGAGCUGCAUAAUAAUCGGAAUGAAAGCCAAAUGGAACCCGACAAACAUUCUCGGAAUUAAAAAAAAAGCACACCUCUCACUAUACAAAUGAUGUCUCUCCGUCUGUUUUCAAUGCUUUUUUCUAUACUUCGGCACUGCGGCUGAUUCUUAGAUUUCUCACAAGCUUCAUCUAGAGAUACAUCAAUCGUCUUCCAUUUGCGGGAUUGUCCGUGAGGCUUUGCCGUGCCGAAAAUUUCUUAUACUUUCUACUAUCCCCGGGAAAUGUUCCUGUCGGCGUAGAUCAAUGCUAUAUUUAGAUUACAGUUUUAUAGUUAACGGCCAAAAAUUCAAAAUUUAACAUAACUAACACAUACAUGCCACCCUGUAUUCGCACCGCCAAUAAAGAAAUUUAAAAAAUGAAAA
This is a long non-coding RNA of Drosophila subpulchrella, 425 nucleotides long. RefSeq lists it as uncharacterized. The transcript has 2 exons. NCBI's taxonomy places the organism in Eukaryota, Metazoa, Arthropoda, Insecta, Diptera, Drosophilidae. The record is from RefSeq and is a predicted model, not a curated record.